ACUCUGCUCUCCGUCUGCUGGAGCCCAAGAUGUUGUAUUUAUAAAUUGAAGGUAAGAUGCUCAACCAGCAAAAAAAUUAUGACCCACUUUAUUGCUGUGGUCCAGAACUGAACCUGCAAUAUCUCCAAGAUAUGGCUGUACUGUAUAAAGAGAACUUGGGUGACGGGGGUGGCGUCUGAAAGAAGACAGAAAGCUGCAGUAACACGCAAAGCAGAUUUGCCUUCAGGGAAUGUGCUCCUUGACUCUGGAUUCCAGACUUCAAUCUUUU
Molecule: long non-coding RNA, 268 nt
Organism: Miniopterus natalensis
Lineage: Eukaryota; Metazoa; Chordata; Mammalia; Chiroptera; Miniopteridae
Source: RefSeq, a predicted model, not a curated record